AGUUUGCAGCCCCCAUGACGUCAGGCCCAACGGCCAAUGGCGGGGCACUGGGGGUUGGGGGCCUCACAAUGGCAGCGCGCGGGUGCAUAUGUCCCCAAUUAGGGCCGGGCGCCGCCAUUGUCCCUUCCUCGCCCCCUCCUCGCGUUGGGGUCUCUGAGCUGAGCUCUCCCCACGCAGUCUGCUCUGGCUAUCGACUAUGGUCGCGGAGCGGCAAGCAGAGACUGCAGCGUGGUGACCUUAUACGGACUGGCCCGGCGGGCGCAGGUGCCAGGGCGGCACAGCAGUGCUGAGCUCAGCUCCCUUCCUCCUGCUGCGUGCUGGGCUGCUACCUGCAUCCACUGCCUCGCGUCCGGCCACGGCAGAACACCAUGAUAGAAAAGUGUAGCAGAACAAAGUUACUCAGUGCACAGCAGCCAGGAAGCAAAGAGGGAUGCAGGAGAGUGCUGGACAAGGCAUGAGGUACCAUGGCCAGCUCUUCAACAAUCUUACCGUCGCUGGCAACGCUUUGUCCUGGAGGCUACCUUGAAGAAAUUCCUGGGUGCGAAUCUUUCUUAAUGGAUUGGAUUGUUAUUAAACCGUUGAAAACCUACCUGGUGUUCAGAGGCAUCAUACUGGCUUAGACUACAUAAGCUAAACCAUUCAAAACAAAAAGAGACCCUUGAGCUUCAACAUUCUUGCAGGCUGGUGUUCUCUGGACAUCUCAUCUGCUACCACUACUGAGCUGACAGAAACAUCUUACCCAGGCCAUUGGUCGUGGAGACAAUCUGGAGAAUGUAAUGAUGAAUUCUGUCAACCUGACUGAACUCAGCAGCACCAGGGAAACACGUGGCUAGGUAUGUCUACAAGGCCCAGCUCGAGCGAGUGUGGACUCACAUCUUGUGGGCUCAAACACUGGAUCCUAUAGAAAGGAGAAAGUGGGCUGAGUGCCCACCAGCAUUUGUCCCUCUCUGCUUCCCGUAUCAUCUGGAUACAAAUGAGACCGGCUCCUCUAUGCUCUUGCUCACUAUGCCUUCCCCGCCAUGACAGGCUGCAUCCUGUCACACAAACCUCUCCUCCCUUAAGCCAUUUCUCCUCAGGUUGGUCACAGCAACGAGUAACUGAUAAGAGGUUCAAACCUGGGCAUUUAGCUCCUCCUUUCUCCCCAUGCCUUCCUGAUUUAAAAAUAAAAAAAUGAAAACCGGC
This is a long non-coding RNA of Rattus norvegicus (Norway rat), 1182 nucleotides long. The record is from Ensembl. Lineage: Eukaryota; Metazoa; Chordata; Mammalia; Rodentia; Muridae.